AUCGCUUCUCAGCCUUUUGGCUAAGAUCAAGUGUAGUAUCUGUUCUUGUCAAUUUAAUAUGUGACACAUCCUCUAUUCAAGGACAAUAGAUUAAAUAGAUUUUUGGAGCAGGGAGGUGGAAUAGGAAUUUGCUCCAUCCACUCCAUGCAUUGACCUGGUAUUGCAGUACCUCUGGGAAUGGUGCAUCCCUU
Cynocephalus volans (Philippine flying lemur) is the source of this 191-nucleotide small nuclear RNA. RefSeq annotates it as U2 spliceosomal RNA. The record is from RefSeq and is a predicted model, not a curated record. The transcript has a single exon. NCBI's taxonomy places the organism in Eukaryota, Metazoa, Chordata, Mammalia, Dermoptera, Cynocephalidae.